This 225-nucleotide ribosomal RNA is filed under the name uncultured bacterium. Its description in RNAcentral is "partial 16S ribosomal RNA". It matches the Rfam family "Bacterial small subunit ribosomal RNA", at positions 109 to 334 of the family's 1533-position model. The record is from RNAcentral.
AGUAACGCGUAGGCAACCUGCCGCAGAGUGGGGAAUAACUCCGGGAAACCGGGGCUAAUACCGCAUACUUUUCCGAUCCGCAUGGAUCGGAAUGAAAGCCUUCGGGCGCUCUGCGAUGGGCCUGCGUUGGAUUAGCUUGUUGGUAGGGUAACGGCCUACCAAGGCUGCGAUCCAUAGCUGGUCUGAGAGGAUGAUCAGCCACACUGGCACUGAGACACGGGCCAG